UUAUCUCCACCAUAGGUAACGCUUCACUAAUUCCCACAUGAAACCGGCUAUUCGCUCCCGAUCCCCACCAUAGGACCAGAACACACCAAAAUUUGACCAAUUUAUCUACAUCAUGAUGCAUGCCUCUCAACAAUAUGCAUUGUCACAAUAAGGUUCACCAAAAGGAUCCACAUACAGAUCUCACCAUUUAUGCAUCACAUCAUUCAUCUUAUGCAACAAUCAAUUCACGUUACAACAUUAAUAAUAUGAACAAACAAUAACAUCUCAUCAAC
This 272-nucleotide long non-coding RNA is filed under the name Lathyrus oleraceus (garden pea). RNAcentral's name for it is "Pisum sativum (pea) long non-coding RNA (PSAT_LNC000429)". The record is from RNAcentral. Lineage: Eukaryota; Viridiplantae; Streptophyta; Magnoliopsida; Fabales; Fabaceae.